GGCGGUGGCCAGGGCCAGCGGCAGGUCGCGGCGGGGCGGCGGGCGGCGGAAGGCGUCGUUGAGGAGGAGGAGGAGGGUGAAGACGAAGGACAAGGCCCAGGCGGACAAGCAGCCGUCACCCUCGCCAGGGUUCCAAUAGCCGGGGGCCGCCGCCAGCGCCAGCGCCAGGAGGGCACUGAGAGCCUGGACACAGCGGAGAGGGGACGGGGGGCGGCACGGAGGGGGCAUCCUGGGGGCUGCGGAGAGAUGGGGAGGUCAUCAGAGGGGUUUUGGGGCUGGGGGCUGCUGGGGGGGCUUGGGGAUGUUGGCAGAGAGCAGCACAGCAGGGGCAUCCCAGAGGCUGGGGAGAAAUCUGGGUUAGUGGGGUGCUGGGUGAGGGGAUUCCCGGUGUUCGGGGGAUCCCGGGAAUGCCGGGGGUCACCAGGAGGGGGUCCCGGGGGGGCUUGAGACUACUGAGGGGACACGGGCGGCACAGCAGGGGCUGUGGAGAAAUGGGGCUGUUGGGGUCAUUGGGGGAUUCCCGGUGUUUGGGGGAUCCCGGGAAUGCCGGGGAACACCAGGAGGGGGUCCCAGGCAUGCCGGGGGUGGGGGCGCUCAGGGCUGUGCCCAUAUAAGGCUCUGGAGAAUCUUCCUCCCCCUCCUCCUCCUCCUCCCUCCGCCCCCCCAUGCUGGGCGCUGGUCACAUCCUGUGGGUGAAGGAGGGGGGGGAGGUCCCGGGAUCCCGGGGGAGACCCCAGAGGGGACCCCAAGGGUCCGGGGGAGGGGGCUGGGCUGGGGCACCCCAGGACCCCCCACCCUGCGUGCCCCUUCCCCACAGCAAGACCCCAGGGUGGGUCCCGGCACUCACCCGAGCGGGUUCGGGUUUUUCCGGGCGAGUUCGGGUGGGUUCUGGGCUGAGUUCGGGUCCCUUCAGGAGGGUUCGGGUCCCCUCAGGAGGGUUCGGGUCCCCUCAGGAGAGUUCGGGUUCCUUCGCGCGGGACGCUCCUGCUUCGGCUGUUUCGGGACCGGUUCUGUUCCUCCCAGUUCGGGUUCCCCAGCACGGGUUCGGAUCCCCUCAGGCGGGUUCGGGACCCCUCAGCCGGGUUCGGGACCCCUCAGGGAGGUUCGGGACCCCUCAGGGAGGUUCGGGUCCCUUCAGGGAGGUUCGGAUCCCCUCAGGCGGGCUCGGAUCCCCUCAGGGAGGUUCGGAUCCCCUCAGGGAGGUUCGGGUCCCUUCAGGCGGGCUCGGAUCCCCUCAGGGAGGUUCGGAUCCCUUCAGGCGGGUUCGGAUCCCCUCAGGCGGCCUCGGAUCCCCUCAGGGAGGUUCGGCUUCCCUUCAGGCGGGUUCGGAUCCCCUCAGGGAGGUUCCGGUCCCUUCAGGCGGGCUCGGAUCCCCUCAGGCGGGCUCGGAUCCCCUCAGGGAGGUUCGGCUUCCCUCGGGCGGGCUCGGGUCCCCUCGUGCGGGCUCGGGUCCCCCCGGUUCGGGACGCUCCCGGUUCGGGACAGUUCGGGUGUGUCCGGAGCGGUUCGGGUCCCCUCGGGCGGGUCCCCUUGGGCGGGUUCGGGUCUCUCCGCCGGGCCGGUCCCAGCCGUGUCACUCCGGGCGGUGCCCACCGGGGCGUGGCCAGGGUGUG
Long non-coding RNA from Parus major (Great Tit), 1613 nucleotides. Lineage: Eukaryota; Metazoa; Chordata; Aves; Passeriformes; Paridae. The record is from Ensembl.